This 460-nucleotide ribosomal RNA is filed under the name uncultured bacterium. RNAcentral describes it as "partial 16S ribosomal RNA". It matches the Rfam family "Bacterial small subunit ribosomal RNA", at positions 338 to 795 of the family's 1533-position model. The record is from RNAcentral.
CCUACGGGGGGCAGCAGUGAGGAAUAUUGGUCAAUGGACGAGAGUCUGAACCAGCCAAGUAGCGUGAAGGAUGACUGCCCUAUGGGUUGUAAACUUCUUUUAUAUGGGAAUAAAAUGUUCCACGUGUGGGAUUUUGUAUGUACCAUAUGAAUAAGGAUCGGCUAACUCCGUGCCAGCAGCCGCGGUAAUACGGAGGAUCCGAGCGUUAUCCGGAUUUAUUGGGUUUAAAGGGAGCGUAGGUGGAUUGUUAAGUCAGUUGUGAAAGUUUGCGGCUCAACCGUAAAAUUGCAGUUGUAACUGGCAGUCUUGAGUACAGUAGAGGUGGGCGGAAUUCGUGGUGUAGCGGUGAAAUGCUUAGAUAUCACGAAGAACUCCGAUUGCGAAGGCAGUUCACUGGACUGCAACUGACACUGAGGCUCGAAAGUGUGGGUAUCAAACAGGAUUAGAUACCCCUGUAGUC